GGAUUGCCCCAGUAACGGCGAGUGAAGCGGCAACAGCUCAAAUUUGAAAUCUGGCCCCACUCGAGGCCCGAGUUGUAAUUUGCAGAGGAUGCUUCGGUGUUGGCCCCGGGCCAAGUCCCCUGGAACGGGGCGCCCUAGAGGGUGAGAGCCCCGUACCCACCCGGGUGUCCUUCGCCAUGUGAAGCUCCUUCGAGGAGUCGAGUUGUUUGGGAAUGCAGCUCUAAGCGGGAGGUAUAUUUCUUCUAAAGCUAAAUACCGGCCAGAGACCGAUAGCGCACAAGUAGAGUGAUCGAAAGAUGAAAAGCACUUUGGAAAGAGAGUUAAAAAGCACGUGAAAUUGUUGAAAGGGAAGCUCUUGCCGCCAGACUUGCCGCGGUCGCUCAGCCGCCCCCCCGGGGGCGGUGUACUCUUCCGUAGGCAGGCCAGCGUCGGUUCGGGCGAUCGGAUAAAGGCCCCGGGAAUGUGGCACCCUCCAGGGUGUGUUAUAGCCCGGGGCGCAAUGCGGUCAGCCCGGUCCGAGGCACGCGUUCGCGAGGACGCUGGCGUAAUGGCUGCAAGCGACCCGUCUUGAAACACGGACCAAGGAGUCUAACAUCUGUGCGAGUGUUUGGGUCUGAAACCCACGCGCGUAAUGAAAGUGAACGGAGGUGGGAACCCCCUCGAGGGGCGCACCAUCGACCGAUCCUGAUGUCUUCGGAUGGAUUUGAGUAAGAGCAUAGCUGUUGGGACCCGAAAGAUGGUGAACUAUUCCCGGAUAGGGUGAAGCCAGAGGAAACUCUGGUGGAGGCUCGCAGCGGUUCUGACGUGCAAAUCGAUCGUCAAAUCUAGGAAUAGGGGCGAAAGACUAAUCGAACC
Molecule: ribosomal RNA, 855 nt
Filed under: Diromma dirinellum
Lineage: Eukaryota; Fungi; Ascomycota; Arthoniomycetes; Arthoniales; Roccellaceae
Description: LSU rRNA
Rfam family: Eukaryotic large subunit ribosomal RNA
Source: RNAcentral